AAGAUUACAUUCAUUAUUUGACAUGGUACCAUACUUUCCGAGGUAAGAGAAAUUUCAUAAGCUAUGAGCUGAAACUAUAGGUACUGAUUGAAAUAAGAUGUGCCUAAUACAGCAACCCUAAAUUUGGCCAACAUGAAGAUUUUGUAGUCAAGGCCCACACUCCAUUCUGGAAAACGGGAAAGCCUCAAUUCAUCUAAACAAAUAGGCGAUCCUCAAAAAAAAACCUAACAAAUAGGCAAGUCUCCCAUCUACAACUAAUCCUAGCAAAUAGAUAGCCAAGUUAGCUGAAUGUAAACAACAGACAGGGGAAGACUUGUAUGAAAACUGAGUUCAUGUAAACAAAAUGACAAAAUCUUCAGGUUUUGGGCACUUCUACCAAAGCCAAGACACCACUGGCAUCCAACUUGAACAAACUGUAUCGUUCGUGUAUAGAAAAAUCUAAUCUUCAUGACAGGAAACGGUAACUUUCAAGCAUACGAAACCUCCCGAAGAACAAGAUACAUAAUUGUAUGUCAUCAUCUGACUGAACAUAUCCUACAAAGCACAGAAAAUAAAUGAACAUAACAUAUGGUUUCAUGAAAAUGACAGUUGAUAGUACUACCAUAGAUAGAGGACCAAAUUAUUAAAUUAUGGAAGUUCAUUCGUGGGCAAAUAGACUGACCACCAAAGAUUAUAUGUGUCCGAAAAAUAUGAACAGUAGCUGCCAAGAUAAAAGGAAGCCAGAAAUUGAUGACAUGCACCUUCAUAAGAAUCUGCAUAUGUACAACACUCCCAGAAGUCUGGAAAAUCUAGCAUGUCAUUAGCCAUGAAAUAAUUGUAACUGCAUCCAAACUGAAAUACAGUUGCAACCACAGAAUAUUCCAAGAAUUAAGUCAAUACACUGUGCCACUGUUAAAGAAAAAGUUUACCAGUAUAAGAAUAACACGCAUUUAGUAACCUGGUAUAAGAAGACCUUGUGGUAAAAUGAUACAUUUGUUUAGAAGGCUCCAACAACUGGAUAGAAUAGAAAAAAGUUAGUAAAAUACAUUUGUUUUGAAGGCUCAACAUCCUUUGAAGAUAUUGGCAAUGUCAGCAUGUUAUAUUCCCUCCUGGUAUAUGGUUGCUCUGUAAGAAAGAUAGAAUCGAAGUCAAUUGUAUGGAUCCAAGAGAUUAUGAUUAAUCUAUAUGCAUUUAGGAAAAUAGUGCUCAACCGCCCAUCAAUUACCUGUUCUUGACUUCCUGACGCCAAACGACAAACUAUCAGAACAUGAAACACCACCACGAACAAGGGCCAGGUCCUCGUCGUCCCCCUCCCUGUCCAACAAUGAUGCAACUAACUGAGAAUCGUAGAAUGGAAGUAAAGGAAACCGCAGCGGCCAACACCCAGCCUUUUCUUCAAGUCUAUCAUAUUCCUCACCAGAUGAUUCCUCACCAGAAGAUCAACUGAGAUACAGACAAUCAAUUUGAGAGAUUGGAAGGAGCAGAAGGAGAGAUGUCACACCCACGCCAAAAUCACUGCCAAAUCUAUCACAAGCAGCAAAAGAGUCUUGUGACCAAACAAGUAAAAGGAGCAAUUCAACAACAAAGAAAACAAUGAAUUUGGAAAAGGAGGAAUCAAUAUCCCUCACCAUCAUCAUGGAAGAAGGGCAUCACCAACACCUUGACUCGGAAGGCUGUGCAGGCAGUACGGCGGCGCUGUUGAGAGGCGAGGCGAGGCGUUGCAAUGUUCAGUGUAAGCCCGGGAUCUACCAUGGAAUUGCUCAACAAGAAGAACUAAAAAUAACAUCAUUGCUCAACAAAUGAGACAAACAGAGAUAACAAUAUCACUUGUAGGCUCAGAUUUAAUUCAACGAAUAUUCCUCAUGUCAUGAAUACAAUAUUGACAACUCGAAAAAUAUUAUAGAUAGAUCAUAGUUGCAAAAUGAAGUGAUCCACAAAAUUGGACAUUUCACCAGCUGAUGGGAAUAUCUAUUAGUACAAAAUUUAUAUGGAAACACUCAACUCUUAUGAAAGAACUAUAAGACUUGUUGCAUGUGUACAAUCAGGGAGUGCUCAGAAUUGCAAUUUAGAUCUUCCAGUGCCUGAGGGAAAUAUAUAUUAAUACAAAUCACUAUGUAAAUACUCAACUCAUAGGUCAGAACUACAGAUACUUGUUGUACGGGUACAAUCAUGAGUGCUCAACAGGUGAAACAAUAUACUUGUUGUAUAUGUGCCCGCCCUUUGCGACGGUUAGCAAAACAUGAGUAAAUAAAUAUAUCUCUAUUACUGUAGCACACCAUUGAUGUAGAAUUCCUUAUGAAGACAUUUAUCUACUACCCAUAUAUGCAAAAAAAAAUGGUGAUGAACAAAUACUACCGGCUGCUCAUAUCUGUUCAAGGAGAAGACAUAUCCAUCACAAAUAGUGAAUUUUACUAAUUCACUCUAUUCAUGUUGCUACUUGCCAAAUUGUUCUCUUUUAGAUUAGAUUAAGUUUGAUCCUAGUUUCUUACAUCCCUUAUGUAUCAUGUAGUAUACUACCGGCUGGUUUCCAUCGAAGCAUGAGUACCUUUGUGGUUCACAGUGACUGUAAUCUCAAUCUAGCCAUUAUAGAGAUGAACUAUGUGCCUAGAAAAUACACCCAAAAGGAAGCUGCAGAGAAAGGGCCAGUGGAGCACUGAUGAAUCUACCAUGCAUUUGUCAGUAAGGACUCAC
RNAcentral lists this long non-coding RNA (2670 nucleotides) under Triticum aestivum (bread wheat). RNAcentral describes it as "long non-coding RNA (TAES_LNC021725)". The record is from RNAcentral. Lineage: Eukaryota; Viridiplantae; Streptophyta; Magnoliopsida; Poales; Poaceae.